CUAGUUGGUGAGGUAACGGCUCACCAAGGCGACGACGGGUAGCUGGUCUGAGAGGACGAUCAGCCACACUGGGACUGAGACACGGCCCAGACUCCUACGGGAGGCAGCAGUGGGGAAUCUUGCGCAAUGGGCGAAAGCCUGACGCAGCAACGCCGCGUGGGGGAUGAAGGCCUUCGGGUUGUAAACCCCUUUCAGUGGGAACGAAAUUGACGGUACCCACAGAAGAAGCCCCGGCCAACUACGUGCCAGCAGCCGCGGUGAUACGUAGGGGGCGAGCGUUGUCCGGAUUUAUUGGGCGUAAAGAGCUCGUAGGCGGCUUGGUAAGUCGGGUGUGAAACCUCCAGGCUCAACCUGGAGACGCCACUCGAUACUGCCCUGGCUAGAGUCCGGUAGGGGAUCACGGAAUUCCUGGUGUAGCGGUGAAAUGCGCAGAUAUCAGGAGGAACACCAGUGGCGAAGGCGGUGAUCUGGGCCGGUACUGACGCUGAGGAGCGAAAGCGUGGGGAGCGAACAGGAUUAGAUACCCUGGUAGUCCACGCCGUAAACGUUGGGCACUAGGUGUGGGGCCUUAUCGACGGGUUCCGUGCCGCAGCUAACGCAUUAAGUGCCCCGCCUGGGGAGUACGGCCGCAAGGCUAAAACUCAAAGGAAUUGACG
This 656-nucleotide ribosomal RNA is filed under the name uncultured Actinomycetes bacterium. RNAcentral's name for it is "SSU rRNA". It matches the Rfam family "Bacterial small subunit ribosomal RNA", at positions 245 to 915 of the family's 1533-position model. Lineage: Bacteria; Bacillati; Actinomycetota; Actinomycetes. The record is from RNAcentral.